RNA transcript from Astyanax mexicanus (Mexican tetra), 5435 nucleotides. RefSeq lists it as uncharacterized. The record is from RefSeq and is a predicted model, not a curated record. NCBI's taxonomy places the organism in Eukaryota, Metazoa, Chordata, Actinopteri, Characiformes, Acestrorhamphidae. The transcript is spliced from 20 exons.
UCGUCAGUCUCGCGAGCUUGACGGUCACGCCUCAUCAGUCUCGCGAGCUUGACGGGCCAGCUCUAAUACACAUUUAAGGGGGACCGCGCAGAGAUAUAAUGGCGCACAUCACACACUUCAGAUGUGGAGAGACAGGGGAUCCUGAUCUAAAAAGAGAAGGAAACCUGUACAAGUGCCAGUGUUGUUCUUUCAGAACAGACAGAGAACACAGCAUGAAAUAUCAUGUGAAGAACCAUUUGACCCUGGCAGUGCAGCAUGCAGGAUACCUUAUCUGUAAAUGCAGUCUGAUGUGCAGAGAAAAUUCACAUUUCCAUUGCUUGUACUGCCACAAAACAAUAAUAAAGAAGAUUCAGUUCAUCACCCAUUUACAAUUGUGCAGUAAAACAUCCCCUUGUCCUGUUGAUGACACCACAAGAGGACCUUCUUCCGCUCCCACUGCUUGUACUUGCACAGAAUCUACUGCUCCUACAUCUUCUUCUCCAACUCCUCCUCCACCUGUUAUUCCUCUACCACUGGUUCCUGAUUCUCUUCCUCCAACUUCUCCUCAGCCUACUGAUGCUUUACCACCACAGAAACCACCCAGACUCUGUGGACAGAGGCAGCACACUGUCAUGUGUAUUCAUUGUGGAAUAGAGAUAAACAAACGUAACUUAAGGGUACAUCUACUGAGGAAACAUACUGACAAUAAGAAGGAUAUAACCGCACAGCAUCAUCUUAGUUGUGAGUGUGUUGAUGCUACGAAUGGCAUUUUUGCCGUAGCAAAGUCAUUUACAGGCCCCAAUACACCUAUUCACGUCAUUAAAAAGAAUUGGGGUAUGAAUCAGCAAACAAGAUGUGAAAUGGAUCUGUGUAGGAUCAACUCAGAAUUUGCACAAAGAAGUAACUUACAUCCAUUUGAGUGUCAGCAUGUUAAGUCCCUCACCUAUUGCCCACCUGCUAAAAUUUAUUCUCCUACUCUUGAAGAGGAUACUUUGACGGAAAUGGUUCAUGAUAAGUGGUUUGGGAAUGAUAAAAAGAAUCUAUGUCUGCAACGGCAAAGAGAGGCAAAUAAUGGACGAGCCCCUCUGUCAUGCCAGGUUACAGUAGGUGGGCCUCCAUCAAAAAGAUUUAUUUCUGUGUUUGAGCCGAACAUUUCUUAUUAUAGCAGGUUAGGUAGAGUGCUUGUUUCCUUUGACACAAAGAGGAUUGAAUGGCACUGCCCAUGUGCAAAGUCUAGGCAGUCUUGCAUUCACAAAUGCAUUGCAAAGUGGCAUCUGUUUCAGACGGAACAGAUGCUUUUCAGACGUGUUCGGAUAGUGGAAGAUGAUAUCCAGGAAGUAUUUACAGAAGGUACAGAGGAUGUGGAAGAACAGCAACUGGAUGAAGGGCCACGGUAUCCACCGGAAGAUGCACAACUCUCACGAAUGGUGCACUAUAUCUUCAAAAACAAGAAGCUUCCUGCAGUUCUCCCUGCUGAUGUAGCCAAUGCAAGAAAUGUUUUCCCAAAGCACUUGGUUCCAUUGGAGACCAUUUGCACAGAAUGCACAGAAAACACUCUACUUAGUGAACCUCAGCUUAUCACUUCAAAAGCAACAAUCUUGACUAUGACAGAUGUCAUUGAAGGGAUUUCAACAUACUGCAAGUGCUGCUACAGGUGUGGUAUGAUCUAUCGCUACCAGGAAUGGUCUGAUGGAGUUCACAACUAUGAUGACCACAUACUUCUGUCCUUGCAUCUCUGUAUCUUCCUUCGCAACAGUCUCCAAACUCACCAGGCUAUUGGAAGUGCUGUAGAAGCAUUAGAGAAGACGUGUGGUAAAAGAUUUCCAUCACAUCAAAGAGUGUUGUAUGCGUAUCUCCAUUUUGAGGCCCUGACAGAUCACUCGUACACUUUUGCAUGUGUAACGUGUGGUUACCAUCCUGUAACAGUUGUCAUGGACCUUCAUAAAAAGGGAGUCUUUAGUAUGCCUGUGAGCAACAUUGAGGUACCACCUCAGGAUUUUGAUGGGAAAGUCAAUGCUGAAGAGUUUUGGGAAGGGGUAUCAUUGGAAAUGAUCAGUCGUGGCUUGGUGCCAAGCAAUAGACAAAACCCAUUUGUGGUUUGUCCAAGCUACCAUUACUGGGCCCCAUGGAUUGGUCGCCACACAAGAAGCACCAGUAUGGUCUUAAACACAGAGUACAGUAAAGUCCAUACAGCCCGCACUCCAGAUGAAGCAUCUGACUUCAACAUCACAGAGGACCGUCUCACAGACGAGAUUCUUAAACUUAAGAUGGAAGCUGUGCGUAGUUUAUGCAAGCAGUGUGGCAUAGACUCCAAGGGCUCCAGAAUGGACUUAGUUAUGAGGUUGCGCCAAGAAAUGCAAACCCGAGGAACAUAUGACAAAAUCUUUUCUAAGGUCUGGGGAGCAUCUGGUGGAUGGGCUGUGGUUACCUGUCCCUGUGCUAUUGUGUACGCCGUAAAAUUUAACCUAAGGGCAGAGAGCCCAAGAGAUUUUUCAGACAUUCUAUUAUCAAUGACUCAUUUCCCCAAUCUGACAUUGUAUGAUUUUGCCAGAGGGCUGGCAACCCAUACAAAUCUGAGGGAGCCAGAGUCUAUGCCUUUUAGCCCCUAUGAGGGCAGGCUGCUUGAACCAACAGACAACAAUGUCAGACUGGCUUCAGCAGGGCAGAUUAAAGUGAGUUUGCCUUGGCUGACAAGUAAAAAGGUUGUACCUGAUGAAAAUGGUCACCCCCUGACAGGGUCAUCAGAGCAUUAUGCUCUAUAUGACCGCUUCCAUGAGGCAAACACAAAAGACAAAAAGGAUGCUUUGCGCAAAAUAGAACUUAUUCCAGAGGUAUGUGGCUGGGUCAAUAGCCAGUGUGCUGAGCAGCUUUUUGCUGGCAUGAGGAAGAACAAUCACUUCCUUAACAUGAUGACUCCCACAUCACAUAUAUUUUUAGUGCGAAAUAUUUUGCACCACUACAACAAUGCACGCAACACAAAGACUCUUGAAGAGAUGAAGAAAGCAUUACAUGUUGGAAUGGAAAUAGAGUUCAAUUCAAGGGGACAGACAGUAAUGGCAGCAGCAUCGGCACCUGGAGUGUCCACAGCAUCAGCAGCGGCCCCUGGAGUGUCCAGAGCAGCAGCAGCGGCCCCUGGAGUGUCCACAGCAGCAGCAGCAGCGGCCCCUGGUGUGUCCAGAGCAUCAGCCACCCCUGGAGUGUCCAGAGCAGCAGCAGCAGCCCCUGGUGUGUCCAGAGCAUCAGCAGCCCCUGGUGUGUCCAGAGCAUCAGCCACCCCUGGAGUGUCCAGAGCAGCAGCAGCGGCCCCUGGUGUGUCCAGAGCAUCAGCGGCCCCUGGAGUGUCCACAGCAGCAGCGGCAGCGGCCCCUGGUGUGUCCAGAGCAUCAGCCACCCCUGGAGUGUCCAGAGCAGCAGCAGCGGCCCCUGGUGUGUCCAGAGCAUCAGCGGCCCCUGGAGUGUCCAGAGCAUCAGCAGCGGCCCCUGGAAUGUCCGCAGCAGCAGCAGCAGCGGCGGCCCCUGGUGUGUCCAGAGCAUCAGCCACACCUGGAGUGUCCAGAGCAGCAGCAACGGCCCCUGGUGUGUCCAGAGCAUCAGCGGCCCCUGGAGUGUCCAGAGCAUCAGCAGCGGCCCCUGGAAUGUCCACAGCAGCAGCAGCGGCGGCGGCCCCUGGUGUGUCCGCAGCAGCAGCAGCAGCAGCAGCGGCGGCCCCUGGUGUGUCCAGAGCAUCAGCCACCCCUGGAGUGUCCAGAGCAGCAGCAGCGGCCCCUGGUGUGUCCAGAGCAUCAGCGAACCCUGGAGUGUCCACAACAUCAGCAGGGGCCCCUGGUGUGUCCGCAGAAGCAAUAUCGGCCCCUGGUUUGUCCGUAGCAGAAGCAGCACCUGUUGUAUCCAUAGUACCUCAAAUAGCACCAAAAUCUGUGGCAAACUGUUGGAGGCUGACACACUUAGACCAUAUAUGUGCCAGCAGGAAUAUCUGGGACUUCAAACUUCACAAAGGACUGGAGACACUGGUUAAUUCUGCAUUGGAUUCCACACAGUCCGCCCAUGAAGCCAUAGGUUCUGUGGGCGGGACUGCAUUGAAAAGGUCAGACUUCAUGUCCUUAGGAUUGGACCAAGAAGUCGAGGCAACAAUAGCCAACUGUUGCUUUUCAAUAUGUAAAAUUGCGGCACAGCAGGGAAAGGAUGUCCAUGCUGUUGAUGCUUAUGUGGUGGCUCUCAAUGCGGACCCAUUGUUGUCUCUACCAUCAGAUGCAGCAUCAAAAGAUUGUAUCCUUUUCCCCGUAUGGAAACCAGGACACUGGCUCCUAUGUGUUCUCAAGCCAAAAGUUAAGAGGAUUCACAUUCUCGACUCCUCUGGCCCUAGUGCUCAUGGAGAUAUUGAGUGUUUAUCCAUUAUCAGCAUGCUUGCUACAAGGCUUGUUCCAGGAUCCUGGAUAAUUGCUAGAAAUGAGGAUGUUCCAGUACAGUUUGGGAGUUCUGACUGUGGAGUAUUCACGCUUAUGGUGAGGUAUAAACUAACCAAUGAUUGUUAAUUAGUUUGCUCACUACCUUCAUACACAAAAAUCAAUUGUUUGAUAGUACCAGGUAAAAUGGCCAAUACUCAUAGUGAAAUUAAAUUACUGAUGUGAUGGAAGGUGUUUAUUGAAAUGAUUCAUAAUCAAUGACGUGUGAUGAUUCAUAAACAAUGACGACUAUUAAUGAUAUUACUUUUUGUUCCAUGCGAUGAUAAUGUGUACUCAGUAAACUGAACUUAACAUUCUUCCCUCAGUGAGCAUAUCUAAGAUGCUGAGUGAGAGUUUUUCUAUCUGGGAAAAGCAGUGUGUGUCUAUGUGUGCGUGCUAAGGAAUGCACGUCACAGUUGUUCUGUCUACAAUUCUGGCGCCAGGGUCAUUUUUCCUUCUGCUUGCAGAAAGCCAGGGUGUUUUGAGAACCAGCCUGAUAUGCUCACUAAGGGAUUAUGUCAUACCACCUGUCAGAAGAAGUUGACGUGUCACAAUGGUGGCACUGUGCCCAUAAUUGGGAAGUAAGAUAGUAAGGGUUGGGAGGAUCUAAAAGGUAUAAAGAGAGCGUGGCACUCUUGCAAGGGAGGAGAUCACUCUGUAUUCGUACGCGUGUCUUCUCAAUAAAGCUUGUUACUCAUUCUGAUCAAGACUCAGAGACUCUGCAGUUUCGUUCUUCCUGUCAUUAUUUUCCACCACACUGAUUGUUUGCAAAUACAAUGAAAGGAGAUUGUGCUGAUUUUCUUGUAUUGUAUAUGACAGUAUGCACUAUAUGUUGCCCAUGAAUGGACCUUCGACUUCACUCAGCAUGAUAUGCCUAGCAUAAGGAGAUGGUGGGUGAACCUCCUGAUCAACAACAUGACACAUGGAAGGAAGAGGAGAUAUGAUGAUAUCACUGGUCAGUGCAUGGAGCAGGAGUACCAGGGCCCUGAACAGGAGAACUCUGAAUAUUUGAUG